CUGGUGUCCCCUCCAUGAUAUUGCUUGAAUAUUGCUAAAAGCGGCGUAAAACCAUACUCACUCACUCACUCACUCAACUAGAUGAUAGCUCACCUGGACAGCUGUUUUCCUCCUGACAGUCCGCUAGGUGAAAGCUCAACUGAAUCACAUGAUUCUCAGAUGUAGUCCUCCUGAAUGUCUCCUAGAUGAUAGCUCACCUGGACAAUUUUCGUGACUGUCUGUUCACUGACAGCUCACCUGUUUCAUGUGUUUUCUGUUAGGUGAUAUCUCACCUGGAUCACAUAUGGUUCUCCCGAAUGUCUACUAGAUGAUAACUCACCUGCACAAAUGUUGUCCUUACUGUACAUGUCUGUGAGGCGAUAGCUCACCUGUGUCAUGUGUUGUCUUCCUGACAGUCUGCUAGGUGAUAGCUCACCUGUGUCAUGUGUUAUCUUCCUGACAGUCAACUAGGUGAUAGCUCACCUGGAUAAUUGUUGUCCUCCUCUCUGUCGACUAGGUGAUAGCUCACCUGUAUCAUGUGUUAUCUUCCUGACGAUUUGCUAUGUGAUAGCUCACCUGGAUAAUUGUUGUCCAACUGACUGUCUACUAGGUGAUAUCUCACCUGAAUAACUGUUGUCUUCCUGACUGUGGACUAGGUGAUAGCUCACCUGUGUCAUGUGUUAUCUUCCUGACAGUCAACUAGAUGAUCGCUCACCUGGAUAAUUGUUGUCCUCCUGUCUGUCGACAAGGUGAUAGCUCACCUGUGUCAUGUGUUAUCUUCCUAAAAGAGUACUGGAUGAGAGCUCACCUGGAUAAUUAUUGUCCUCCUGACUGUCGACUAGGUGAUAGCUCACCUAUAUCACAUGUGGUUCACCAGAGUGUCUCCAAGAUGAUAGUUCAUCUGGACUGUUUUGUCCUCCUGACUGUCUGCACAUUGUAAGGUCAUCCGCACAAUGGGUUGUAUUGGCAGUCAACCAGAUGAUAGCUCACCUUGUCAAUGUGGUACUCAACUUAACAUGUUUUGGCACUUUAUAGAAUCAUGCAUAUAUAUGUUGUUCAAUUAUAGCAUCUAUAUACUGAUUUAUAUACUAGUAGUCUGUGAAGGAACUAUUUACAAAUGGCUUUUAUACAUUCAUAUAUGUGAUUGUACAUAAUAUUUACAAAUUUAUACUUUGAAAGAAAUGUUUUCCAAAUAAAAGCCUUUAUUAAAUAA
RNAcentral lists this long non-coding RNA (1192 nucleotides) under Haliotis rubra (blacklip abalone). RNAcentral's name for it is "uncharacterized LOC124253217, transcript variant X3". Lineage: Eukaryota; Metazoa; Mollusca; Gastropoda; Lepetellida; Haliotidae. The record is from RNAcentral.